Neopelma chrysocephalum (saffron-crested tyrant-manakin) is the source of this 3060-nucleotide long non-coding RNA. RefSeq lists it as uncharacterized. The record is from RefSeq and is a predicted model, not a curated record. Lineage: Eukaryota; Metazoa; Chordata; Aves; Passeriformes; Pipridae. The transcript is spliced from 2 exons.
CGGAUCCCACGGGGCAGGAGCUCUCCAGAGGAGACUAAGGCAGGCCAAGGCAGACCGUGGGGGUUUGGCCAUUGGAAUGGUCACGGUAGAUCCAUGUCAAGAACGGUGCUUCUUCCGCAUGUUUUAGUCCAUUAAAACAAGGGAUGUUUUUCUCAGGACUCCCCAGUUUUGAAGCAGGUUUGAAGUUGCAGAGGGAAGACCAUAGUGUGGUAGGGCAGGAUUGUGUCUUCUCUUGGUUAAUAGUGCUGAGCUUAUGCAACGGAGCAAGCCAGCACCUGCUUGAGAGCGGACGUGGGAGCCUUGGAAGGGACUGGCUCCAAAUCUGGCCAUGGUGGGGAUGAUGACAAAACUAGUGCUCCACCCAGUGCUCCAUGAAGUAGGCAGGUGCACAAGGUAGGUCAGUUACCUGCAAGGAGUCCUUGCAUAUGGCAGCAGUGAGCUGAUGGCCUGAAGUAGUGUCCAUCUUCUCUGUUUGGGCUGAAUUUUAUCUGAUGACCUUGUCUGAUUGGCAGGUUUCUCCAGUCCUGUUCCCCAGGUAGUGCCCCUCUACUUAGCCAGGGCUAGUCCUGCUCCAAUACCUGCUGGAAGGAGCAGAAAUGCAAAUAAUGGUCAUAUGGAUGAGAUACUCUUUCAGCAGUGCUUUAGCUCACGAGCACGACCUUUUCUGGCAUCUCCAGAAUUUGCCUCCUGAUUUCCUGCAGUGAUCAUCUCGGGCAUUGACACUCCACACUGGAGGUGGCAGUUUCAGUCUUCGGAGCCCUGCUGAAGGAUAUGCUGUCACUAGCACGUGUUCACUGCAGGCCUGCACCAUCAAGGGCUGCCUGAUGUGUUCCCCAUCAUAUAUGGCUCUGCAGCAGGUCUUACGUGGCAAGGAGCAAAAAACUUGGACAUCUGAGAAACUCCAGAGAAGGUGGUCCAUCCAAUUGUAAGUGAUCAACAGAACAAAGCCCAGAUGUCUUUGGCAGUGACAGGCCACAGGCAGCCACUGCAUGGCAGUUCUGCUGGAAACAGUCAGGAGUCUCAGAAGUCACAAAAUUAGGUCACAUUUUCAACUGGGAUACUGAACAUAGACCUCCAGGACACAGAGAAAUGGAGCAGAUCCACAGCUUAUCUAGCCCCAUGUGACUGAUGUACAGCACAUAAAGCAUGCCAAACUAACACCUGGUCAGUCAGCAAUUCCUACCUGGUCAGCUGGAAUGAGGAGGGUAUUAUGGGAGAGAGUGUGAGGCAGAGCUGUGGAAUAGCUUCUGCAGAGCAACACUGUCCAGCUGAGCCAAGUUCAUUGGUUGAAAACUCUCUUGUCUCCAACCUGCACUGCCUCUGAAAUACUCUACCUACAUCUUGGCACAUGGGUCAGUACAGGAUAUCCUCCACCCAGAUUGCUGCAUUUUGUGUCCCUCUGCAUACACCUGUCAGCAUUUCCUCUGUGUGCGUGGGCCUGCCCUUCUCUGCUAGCCUUCCACACCUUGGGGCUCACAGACUCAGCAAGCAGCUGGCUGAAGGCAGCACUGCUUGUGCCCUUCUGAUCAGCUUGGGAGUACGAAUUCCAUGAAGAAUGAGUUAAGAAAAUUUACUGCAAGUUUAGUUUUUAAGGCCUUUGGGUUUAAAAAAAAAAUAAAAAGGAAAUAUGAAUGAUUUGGGGAAGCAACUUCCAUCCUUUAGUACAGGUUGGUGGGGUUUUUUUGGAGUCUUUCCAAAGAUGCUUGGGCUUGGGAGGAAGGGGAGUGAGAAAUGUUUUAAAAUAGAAGAGGCAGAGAAGUCAGAGGAAAACAGUGCUGAGACAUUCACUUUCUAAGAAUUCAAUCCUAGCAGUACUCUUGGCAUGGCAGUUAUGUACAUAAUUAGGGUGGUAUGAUGGUAGUGGGAAUAGAAGCUACUUACAAAGCUAAAAGUUGUACAUUAAAGCAGAUAAGUCAAGAGUGCAAGUUGUGCUCAGACAACUAUCAGGCCUAUUAGAGUCUAGAAGCUGUGCUAGGUGCUAAAUAAAUCAAGGAGAGUCACUUGACAUUUGCUAGCUGGAAAAGGAGGGUUCCCCUUCAAAGAAGGGCUUCAUAUCCACAUCCUUAUAUGCUUGAGUGAUGGCACUGUACAUCUGAGCUCUCUCUGGAAUUACUAGCACUGAAUUGCUUAGAGAGAGGACAAGGUUAUUAGCUUCAGCAGGAAAAGGAAAUUUUAUACGUAAUAUACAUGCAGAAUUGACUUGUCUGUAGCCCAAAACUUUGGAGAUUACGCAUGCAAAAUGAGAAGUUGAUCUAAUUUUGAAAUUGUUUUCAGUACCAUGGAAAGUAAUUUUACAGCAUGCUUGCCCCCUUCACCUUACACAUCAAAAUCUGCAGAGAUUGGCUCUAUUCAUUUAGGCUUAAAUGCAGGACCUGAGUCUUCUUAGAAAUGGUUACUGGUCGGGGAGAAAUAAGCUUUUCUCAAAGUGAUGUAGGUGAGUAGCUUUCUUAAGUGCAUGUUUGAGGAUGCCUCCCAGAUCAGAAGGGUGGUUCAAAUGUGGCAGACCUUUCAGACGCAGCCUUACUGAGGACUCCUCAGUUACCUACUAAAAGCUUCAAGAGCUGGAUGAAGACAGGGCAGACAGAGGCAAGGCACAGCCAGUAAUCUCAGUGCUCAGUAGUGGAGUUGUUUCUGUAGCUGGCCAGCCCAUUGAAAACAUCCCUGAGAUUAGCUCAGUUGGUUAGAGCUUUGUGCUAAAGGCACCAGGGUUGUGAGUUUGAUCCCAAUAUGGGCCAGUCACUUAAGAGUUGGACUUUAUGAUCUUUGUGGGUCCCUUCCAACUCAAGAAUAUUCUGUGAAAUUUCUGUGAAACCUCCAGAGAGGACCAUGCAGCCUUUUCCAGCAUUCCAGGUAGCUGUUUGUGUUUCAGAUAAGGGCUGAUCUCAUGAGUGAUGUGUUGCAGAGGAGAGCUGAGCAACCCCUGGGUUUUUUCUAGGAUGCACCAGACCUUGCUGUAGGGCUUGGGACCUGCUCAGCAGCUGGAGAUGAUGUCCAGGGAGCUGUAACAACCUUGCUGGUGCUUCCCAGUGGGAGGGAAGAAAAAAAGAAGUAAAAAAAAAA